GGAUCCAGACUUUGAUUCUGGCUCAGGAUGAACGCUGGCGGCGCAUUUAAGACAUGCAAGUCGAACGAAAAUUUACGCUUAAAGAGUUGAUUAGUUUACUAAGAGAUGAUUUAUUGUAAAUUUUAGUGGCGGACUGGUGAGUAAUACAUAGGUAAUCUGCCUUUUAGAGGGGAAUAACUAGGAGAAAUCCUAGCUAAUACCGCGUAAGACCACACUUAGGCAUCUAAGAGAGGUCAAAGGAGUAAUCCGCUAAAAGAUGAGCCUGUGGCUGAUUAGUUAGUUGGUGGGGUAAGAGCCUACCAAGACGAUGAUCAGUAGCCGAGCUGAGAGGCUGGCCGGCCACAUUGGGACUGAGAUACGGCCCAGACUCCUACGGGAGGCAGCAGUUGGGAAUAUUGGACAAUGGAGGAAACUCUGAUCCAGUGACGCCGCGUGAAGGAAGAAGGUCUUCGGAUUGUAAACUUAUUUUAUCAGGGAAGAAGAAAGUGACAGUACCUGAAGAAAAAGGACCGGCAAACUACGUGCCAGCAGCCGCGGUAAUACGUAGGGUCCAAGCGUUAUCCGGAUUUACUGGGUGUAAAGGGCGAGUAGACGGCGCUGUAAGUCAGCUGUGAAAACUUAGGGCUCAACCUUAAGCCUGCAGCUGAAACUGUAGUGCUAGAGUGCAGGAGAGGUAAGCGGAAUUCCUAGUGUAGCGGUGAAAUGCGUAGAUAUUAGGAGGAACACCAGUGGCGAAGGCGGCUUACUGGACUGUAACUGACGUUGAGGCGCGAAAGUGUGGGGAGCAAACAGGAUUAGAUACCCUGGUAGUCCACACCGUAAACGAUGGAUACUAGGUGUAGGCGAGAUAUCGUCUGUGCCGGCGCAAACGCAAUAAGUAUCCCACCUGGGGAGUACGGCCGCAAGGUUGCAACUCAAAUGAAUUGACGG
Molecule: ribosomal RNA, 930 nt
Filed under: uncultured bacterium
Lineage: Bacteria
Also listed under: 1 other name
Description: bacterial SSU rRNA
Rfam family: Bacterial small subunit ribosomal RNA
Source: RNAcentral